Molecule: unclassified non-coding RNA, 352 nt
Filed under: soil metagenome
Description: partial contains 5.8S ribosomal RNA, internal transcribed spacer 2, and large subunit ribosomal RNA
Rfam family: 5.8S ribosomal RNA (bases 1-120)
Source: RNAcentral
GAUGAAGAACGCAGCGAAAUGCGAUAAGUAAUGUGAAUUGCAGAAUUCAGUGAAUCAUCGAAUCUUUGAACGCACAUUGCGCCCGCCAGUAUUCUGGCGGUCAUGCCUGUUCGAGCGUCAUUACAACCCUCAGGCCCCCGGGCCUGGCGUUGGGGAUCGGCGGAGCCCCCCGUGGGCACACGCCGUCCCCCAAAUGCAGUGGCGGUCCCGCCGCAGCUUCCAUCGCGUAGUAGCUAACACCUCGCGACUGGAGAGCGGCGCGGCCACGCCGUAAAACACCCAACUCUUCUGAAGUUGACCUCGAAUCAGGUAGGAAUACCCGCUGAACUUAAGCAUAUCAAUAAGCGGAGGA